ACAGGGUGACAGGUGGUGCAUUGGUUGUCGUCAGCUCGUGUCGUGAGAUGUUGGGUUAAGUCCCGCAACGAGCGCAACCCUCGACCUUAGUUGCCAGCAUUCAGUUGGGCACUCUAAGGAGACUGCCGGUGUUAAACCGGAGGAAGGCGGGGAUGACGUCAAGUCCUCAUGGCCCUUAUGUCCAGGGCUACACACGUGCUACAAUGGCCGGUACAAAGGGUAGCAAGACCGCGAGGUGGAGCCAACCCCAAAAAGCCGGUCUCAGUUCGGAUUGGAGUCUGCAACUCGACUCCAUGAAGUUGGAAUCGCUAGUAAUCGUGGAUCAGCAUGCCACGGUGAAUACGUUCCCGGGCCUU
Molecule: ribosomal RNA, 356 nt
Filed under: uncultured Desulfuromonas sp.
Lineage: Bacteria; Pseudomonadati; Thermodesulfobacteriota; Desulfuromonadia; Desulfuromonadales; Desulfuromonadaceae
Description: bacterial SSU rRNA
Rfam family: Bacterial small subunit ribosomal RNA
Source: RNAcentral